RNAcentral lists this ribosomal RNA (391 nucleotides) under Cyrtopeltis canariensis. RNAcentral's name for it is "partial 12S ribosomal RNA". Lineage: Eukaryota; Metazoa; Arthropoda; Insecta; Hemiptera; Miridae. The record is from RNAcentral.
UAAACUAGGAAUUAGAUACCCUAUUAUUUUAGUUGUAAAAUUUUCACUAAAUUACUAAUAGUUUUGUUCUUUAAAUUUAAAGAAUUUGGCGGUAAUUUAUCUUUUCAGAGGAGCCUGCCCUUUAAUUGAUAAUCCACAAUUAAUUUUACUUUUGUUUUUACUUAUAUACCUCUAUCAUUGAAUAUCUUUAAAAAGUAAAAUUUUCUAAUAGAUUUGUUAAUCUUAAUGUUAGGUCAAGGUUUAGUAAUACAUUAGUUUGAGGUGGGCUACAUUAUUUAUAUAUGAGGGGAAAAUUAUGUGAUAAUUUUUGAAUAUGGAUUUGAUAGUAAAUUCUUUUAUCUAAGAGUUUUGAUUUUGUAAUAAAUUAAGCACACAUCGCCCGUCGCUCUUA